GUGAAUGUACUCUUUAUGAGGCUUUGCGCUGCCCUUGUGGCAGCUAGCCGAAGGUUUCGCAAGAAGCCGAUGUCAAUUUGAAUCCUUUUUAAAAUACGACUGAUCAAAACUGCAGAUAGAAAUAUCUGCAUGCAAUUGAAAUACAACUUUCAACAGUGGAUGUCUAGGCUCGCACACCGAUGAAGAACGCUGCGAACUGCGAUACGUAAUGCGAAUUGCAGAAUUCAGUGAGUCAUCAAAAUUUUGAACGCAUAUUGCACUUCCGGGUUAGUCCUGGGAGUAUGUUUGUAUCAGUGUCCGUGAACACAAACUUGUUUCAUUUCUUGAUUGGGAUGGAGCAGACUGUGAAGGUCUUGUAAUUACAAGUCCUUUUAAACGACGGUACCUAUGCGUCCUAGUGAGAUGUAUUAUUUAAAGGUAUGCCUGCGCUCCUUUCGAAAGUCUUGUGUGGCGGCACACAGCACUCAAAGAGAGAGCAAAUCGCGGUAGUUUUGCUUGUACUUCGGUACGAGUGGACACAUAUUGCUUUUUGUGAUUUCUGCGAGUCUGUUGUCAAAGUACAAGGCACGUAAGGAGAGUUGGUAUGCUGGUGCAUUUCUUGGCGUAUGGAGGCAAAUUGGGAAUUCAAUCC
Molecule: unclassified non-coding RNA, 631 nt
Filed under: Saprolegnia sp. BMS14
Lineage: Eukaryota; Oomycota; Saprolegniomycetes; Saprolegniales; Saprolegniaceae
Description: sequence contains ITS1, 5.8S rRNA gene, ITS2
Rfam family: 5.8S ribosomal RNA (bases 145-299)
Source: RNAcentral